This 410-nucleotide ribosomal RNA is filed under the name uncultured microorganism. RNAcentral's name for it is "bacterial SSU rRNA". It matches the Rfam family "Bacterial small subunit ribosomal RNA", at positions 509 to 917 of the family's 1533-position model. The record is from RNAcentral.
CAGCCGCCGCGGUAAUACGUAGGGUGCGAGCGUUAAUCGGAUUUACUGGGCGUAAAGCGUGCGCAGGCGGCCCGUUAAGACAGGUGUGAAAUCCCUGGGCUCAACCUAGGAAUUGCGCUUGUGACUGGCGGGCUCGAGUACGGUAGAGGGGGGUGGAAUUCCUGGUGUAGCAGUGGAAUGCGUAGAGAUCAGGAGGAACACCGAUGGCGAAGGCAGCCCCCUGGGCCUGUACUGACGCUCAUGCACGAAAGCGUGGGGAGCAAACAGGAUUAGAUACCCUGGUAGUCCACGCCCUAAACGAUGGGUACUAGCCGUUUGGUGCGCGAUAGCGCUGAGUGGCGAAGCUAACGCGUGAAGUACCCCGCCUGGGGAGUACGGCCGCAAGGUUGAAACUUAAAGGAAUUGGCGGG